AGGAAGCAACUCAAUAUUUUAGCAAUGGUACUUGAUAUCUGUGUUGUGAUACUGAAAUCCUGCAUUGCCCUGGCCUUUCAGUAUUCUGUCUGCCUCAAUUUUCUUCUGUUAGGUGUCAUAAAAGGAGAUGAAGUGAAGCAAACAGAAUUAAGUAAAACUAUACAUGAAGGGGAUGAUGUCACUUUGUCCUGUAAUUUCAAAACAACAUCUAACACGUCUCCAGACUUAUACUGGUAUCAGCAAAAACCAAAGGGACCUAUGAAAUAUUUAGAACUUCAAAUGAACAACUAUAAAAUGAAUGCAACAAAAGGACGCUUCACAUCAUAGUAUAACAUUUCUGAACUUUCUACAUUCCUAAGCAUCUCCAGUACCCAGCUGUCUGACUCGGCAGUUUACUUCUGCGCAGUGAGUGACACAGUGACUGACGUUUCUACUCAUGCCGUACAGGAACUGAUGCAUGUUAUAUGUAUGUAAAACUCUACUUCUCUCCCUCAGUUAUGUAGGGUCAAAUUUAAAAUUUCACACAGAUUUCACCCUACUCUUGUCUUCUGGAACUCAAAAUGACUGAAAUAAUUUAAAGAAUCAACAUUAUUGUUUAGUAGUUUGGUGGGAAUACUUUGUCUAAUGGUAUCCUAAAGCUGCUCCUUCAGAUUUUUCUUCAUGAAAGUUUGUAGGCCUUGCAUUAGUAACUCUGAUACUGCCAUUACAGUGAUUUCAGUAUUAUCCACAAAAAAACAUAAAACUUAAUGACCACGAUAAACAUAUAUGUAAGGAUAAUAUAUGCCUGUAGUUCAUAUAUUUAACAAUAACAAUUCAGUGUACUAUGUGCCUUAAUAUCCACCCAUUCAAGAAAAGUAA
Non-coding RNA from Protopterus annectens (West African lungfish), 858 nucleotides. The record is from the annotation of a RefSeq genome assembly. Lineage: Eukaryota; Metazoa; Chordata; Ceratodontiformes; Protopteridae.